RNAcentral lists this ribosomal RNA (774 nucleotides) under uncultured Neocallimastigales. RNAcentral's name for it is "partial large subunit ribosomal RNA". It matches the Rfam family "Eukaryotic large subunit ribosomal RNA", at positions 23 to 634 of the family's 3401-position model. Lineage: Eukaryota; Fungi; Neocallimastigomycota; Neocallimastigomycetes; Neocallimastigales. The record is from RNAcentral.
GAGAGAGACAUGCGCGCAUAUCAAUAAGCGGAGGAAAAGAAACUAACAAGGAUUCCCUUAGUAACGGCGAGUGAAGCGGGAAGAGCUCAAAUUUGAAAUCUUCAAGGUUUUACCUUGACGAAUUGCUAGUUUAAAGAAGUGUUUUCUGCUGAAGUUUUGGUAAAAGUUCUUUGGAAUAGGACAUCAUAGAGGGUGAGAAUCCCGUAUUUGACCAUUAUUUUCAGCUUUGUGAUACACUUUCAAAGAGUCGGAUUGUUUGGGAAUGCAGUCCAAAAUGGGUGGUAAAUUUCAUCUAAAGCUAAAUAUUGGCGAGAGACCGAUAGCGAACAAGUACCGUGAGGGAAAGAUGAAAAGAACUUUGAGAAGAGAGUUAAACAGUACGUGAGAUUGUCAAAAGGGAAGCGUUUGACACCAGUGUUGUUUUCUCGAAAAUCAAUUAAAAAUGGCUCGAUUUUGUAUUGUUGAGACCUUAAAAGCUCACUGUACAUUUUUCGUGUCUUUUUUAAUGCACUUUUCGUUUAACAAGUCAACAUCAGUUUCUUUUGUUGUAAAAGGGUCAUUGGAAGGUGGCUUUCUUUUCGGAGAAAGUGUUUAUAGCCUUUGGCCUCUGCAAUCGGAGAGACUGAGGUCUGCAGCGUAGACUCUUCGGGGUUAGAUACAUUUGUGCUAAGUUAUAGCUUUUUAUAGACAACUUGUUGACUAUAAUUAGUCUUGUAGCUUACUCGCUUAUGCUAUUUUACCUACGCUUAGGAUGUUGAGUCGUAGAGCACGCAG